AGACUUUCCUGGCAGGGGAAAUACCAUGACCACUAAGGUGGUUUUCCAAGUUGCUGGGGAUAACUGCUUUUUUGUCAAGAGGUAGUAUCCAGGUGGAAGUAAUGUAUUGUUAACUUCCAUUACCAGUGGAAAGAUCUUGGCUUUAUGCCCACUUUAUGGAAAUGGGAGACUCCUCCCU
RNAcentral lists this small nuclear RNA (178 nucleotides) under Crocodylus porosus (Australian saltwater crocodile). RNAcentral describes it as "U1 spliceosomal RNA (ENSCPRG00005009451.1)". The record is from RNAcentral. Lineage: Eukaryota; Metazoa; Chordata; Crocodylia; Crocodylidae.